This is a small nuclear RNA of Fusarium graminearum, 184 nucleotides long. It matches the Rfam family "U2 spliceosomal RNA". Rfam says of the family: U2 is a small nuclear RNA (snRNA) component of the spliceosome (involved in pre-mRNA splicing). The record is from Rfam. Lineage: Eukaryota; Fungi; Ascomycota; Sordariomycetes; Hypocreales; Nectriaceae.
UUCCCUUUGCCACCUUGGCUUGAAUCAAAGUGUAGUAUCUGUUCUUGUAUAGGCUAAUCCCUUUACACUAUUUUCUUAACCUAAUUUUUGAUCAAAUUGGUGAUGGUACAACUACGCUUGCGUUGGUGAACCAUCUCCACUGUGUCCUUGGUAUCACACUGCCUCCAAGCGAUGUAAAUUGACU